AAGUCGUAACAAGGUUUCCGUAGGUGAACCUGCGGAAGGAUCAUUAUUGAAUACGAAUUGGUUCUGAUGCUGGCCCUUCACCGGGCAUGUGCUCGUUCCAAAUCUAUUUAUCUUCUCUUGUGCACCUUUUGUAGUCUUUGAAAAAAAGUGAACCUCUCGCAGCGAUGCGGUCUGGGAGGAUGGGCGCAAGCCCUUCUCCUGCUUGCUUUCUUUCAAGGCUAUGUUUUAAUAUACACUAUAAAGUUACAGAAUGUCUUUUAAAGAUUGUCGCGCGAGCGCAGUCAUUAAACCUAUACAACUUUCAGCAACGGAUCUCUUGGCUCUCC
RNAcentral lists this unclassified non-coding RNA (326 nucleotides) under Mycena meliigena. RNAcentral describes it as "partial internal transcribed spacer region". The stretch from base 1 to 46 matches the Rfam family "Eukaryotic small subunit ribosomal RNA", at positions 1786 to 1831 of the family's 1831-position model. Lineage: Eukaryota; Fungi; Basidiomycota; Agaricomycetes; Agaricales; Mycenaceae. The record is from RNAcentral.